GAUCCUCUUGCGAGCAACUGAUUCGUAAUCAGUAGGUCGGUGGUUCGACUCCACUCAACAGCACCA
This 66-nucleotide transfer RNA is filed under the name Betaproteobacteria bacterium 13_1_20CM_3_63_8. RNAcentral describes it as "tRNA-Thr". It matches the Rfam family "tRNA", at positions 17 to 71 of the family's 71-position model. Rfam says of the family: Transfer RNA (tRNA) molecules are approximately 80 nucleotides in length. Their secondary structure includes four short double-helical elements and three loops (D, anti-codon, and T loops). The record is from RNAcentral. Lineage: Bacteria; Pseudomonadati; Pseudomonadota; Betaproteobacteria.